AGAAGAAAGAAAAUCUUACUGGGUUGGAACAACAUGAGGGGUUGUUGUUGUUGGAUGUUGCUGAAGUUUGUCAGGUUUACGACCUUUCCAGUCCUACUCCUUAAAGUGAAUCCAGGCAGAGGAUUACAGUCUCAACGUGUGUCACUCAAUCUCUCCCAGUCUGCACAUCAACCGCUGCGUUU
Non-coding RNA from Pimephales promelas (fathead minnow), 182 nucleotides. The record is from RefSeq and is a predicted model, not a curated record. Lineage: Eukaryota; Metazoa; Chordata; Actinopteri; Cypriniformes; Leuciscidae.